GCUUGAUCAGGGCUCUCACCACCGGUUUGAUUUUUGUUGUUUUUUCACUCUGUGUUAUUAGCUUAUGUAAAUAUAUUUUGUAAAUACACGUGCAUAUACUGAUUUGGGAUUUGCUUCUUUCGCAUGUAUCUUUCAUGGGUUUCGCUUAUUCAUUUCUUGAUUCUUUUGGGUUUGUUUUGUUGCAGAUGUUGAGAAGUUUUACCAACAG
Molecule: unclassified non-coding RNA, 208 nt
Filed under: Hevea brasiliensis (rubber tree)
Lineage: Eukaryota; Viridiplantae; Streptophyta; Magnoliopsida; Malpighiales; Euphorbiaceae
Source: RNAcentral